UGGUGGAGUGAUUUGUCUGCUUAAUUGCGAUAACGAACGAGACCUUAACCUGCUAAAUAGCCCGGCUGGCUUCGGCUGGUCGCUGGCUUCUUAGAGGGACUAUCGGCUCAAGCCGAUGGAAGUUUGAGGCAAUAACA
RNAcentral lists this ribosomal RNA (137 nucleotides) under uncultured eukaryote. RNAcentral's name for it is "partial 18S ribosomal RNA". It matches the Rfam family "Eukaryotic small subunit ribosomal RNA", at positions 1299 to 1458 of the family's 1831-position model. The record is from RNAcentral.